This 244-nucleotide long non-coding RNA is filed under the name Prunus persica (peach). Its description in RNAcentral is "long non-coding RNA (PPER_LNC004423)". Lineage: Eukaryota; Viridiplantae; Streptophyta; Magnoliopsida; Rosales; Rosaceae. The record is from RNAcentral.
UGGCCGUAGUUUUACAGAUUUUUUGGGGUUUGCGGCCUUUCAUAAUUUUUCAUGUGUUGAGUUGGAGCAAUUUGUUGUAUGUCUGUGGAGUGUAUGGCAUAUGCGCAAUGAAGUUGUGCAUGGGAAAAUUGUGGAACCUGCGGAGAUGCUGGUAGAGAAAGCAAUGGAGGGGCACGCUACUUUAAAGUCUGUAAUGCUAAACCGGAGGUCGUGCGUGUACCCUGUCAUGCUCGCUGGAUCAAGC